UUCUACACCUAAAAAUUAUCUUAAUCCAACAUCGAGGUCGCAAUCUCUUUUAUCGAUAUGUUCUCUUUAAAAAUAUUACGCUGUUAUCCCUUAAGUAACUUAAUCUUUUAAUCAUUAUAUAAUGGAUCAACUCAUUUAUCAAUGAAUAAAAGUUUAUUAAAUUUUCUUAUCACCCCAAUAAAAUAUUAUAUAAAGCUUUAAAGGGUCUUCUCGUCCUUUAAUAAAAUUUAAGCUUUUUAACUUAAAAAUUAAAUUCAAAAACAUUUAAAAUAAGACAGUUAAUAUUUCAUCCAAUCAUUCAUACCAGCUCCUAAUUAAGAAACUAUUGAUUAUGCUACCUUUGCACAGUCAAAAUACUGCGGCCUUUU
RNAcentral lists this ribosomal RNA (368 nucleotides) under Ophthalmopsylla praefecta praefecta. Its description in RNAcentral is "partial 16S ribosomal RNA". Lineage: Eukaryota; Metazoa; Arthropoda; Insecta; Siphonaptera; Leptopsyllidae. The record is from RNAcentral.